Molecule: long non-coding RNA, 1470 nt
Organism: Coffea arabica (coffee)
Lineage: Eukaryota; Viridiplantae; Streptophyta; Magnoliopsida; Gentianales; Rubiaceae
Source: RefSeq, a predicted model, not a curated record
GAGGUGAGAGAUAUUUCUUCUUCAUUUUUCCAGCCAAGAGAGUAGGAAAAGUCAAGGAAAGCUGCAGGAAUUUUUUUCCCUUGUCCUACUCCAAUUUCCCAACCGUGAGAGAUAUACUUCUCCAUUGCCUCCAUUUUUGACCAAGUCCAACUAGCAUGCAAGUUGACUAAGCCAAAUUUACCUCUUCUUGUUUCUUUUCUUCAGCUCAACCACCGAGAGAAAGAAAAAUAAUGACAAACAAGACUGGUCACUUGUUUUGUCUCACUUCAGCCGAGAAAGAGUAGAGAGAGAGUUGAGAGGAAAAAUUUGUGCCAUCCUUCAACCUUCCAGCCGAGAGGAGCUUGAGAGAAGAAUAAAGAAAUUUCUCUUGUUUUGCUUCCACUUCAACCAAGAGGAACCAGAGAGAGAACACUUAAAGGAAGCUUGUGUCUUACUUCCAUUUCCAGCUUGCUUGAUCGGGUAGAAGGACCAAAACAGGGGAGUUAACUUCUAGCUUGUGUCAAAGGGCGUGACGGUGGUCCGAAACGCUCGUCGGGUGGGCAAGUGUGAAAAUUCUGUUUGCUUACUUGGUGAGUGUACUACUCACAUGAUUGAUACUUCUUGGCUUUGUUGUACUUGAGAUACAUGAUUGGAAUGUUUGUGUUUACUGAUGAUACUGGUUGAGACAAGGGUGUACUUUACCACUCUCGCACUAUAUGGUUUAAUUGACUGUUCACUGUAUCACUUGAAUUGACUUGAUUAUACUUGAACUGUGUCAUUUGGACGUGUCUCCAACGAAUUAUACUGUUAUCACUGAGCUCAACCCCAUUGGUGGUCAAUUGAAUCGAGCCCGUAAGGGCUUGGUCGAGGAAAUUGAUAAACCAUGGGGACUAUUAUAAGGAAUCAUUGAGUAUGAGACUCUUGGUUCCGGUAUAGUCGAGUAUUACCAUUUAUUGAACUGUUUGGAGUUCGGGCCCGGUAGGAGUAUGUGAGGUGGAAGGAAAUGGGAGUAAAGUGGGGUCUACGGUAUCGGUACUUUUAAACAUUGACGGAGCGUCAAUGAGGUGAGAUCAAGUAUGCCAAAAGUGGAAAAGGGCUCUUGAGAGCCGACCGUAUCCUUUUACAAAUCUUCUUGGAAUGUGAUAUUUGUUGUGCUUACUUGACGAACUUAUUUGAAUAGUGUAUCACUGUGAUUUUGUACCCCUUGAAUGCCUGAGUGACAGUACCUCCUUGGGCGAAAGCUCACUCCAUUAAAUUUUGUUUUCCUUACAAGGAACAACUUUUGAAGACUGUGAUAUUUUGAUGUACGAGUUGAGCUAGUUUUAAUACAUAUUCUGUGUAAAGCUCCUUGAUGCUUGGAAACUCUGAAUGUACUUGGAUCCAAAUAUUUUUCUUUUAUUUGUAAAUUACAAACGUAUAUGUAUAAAACUAUUUACCUUGUUCAUGUAUCCUAUUUGGUUUGGAAAUAUUUUUCCGAGUUAUAUGGCUAUA